Zalophus californianus (California sea lion) is the source of this 1867-nucleotide long non-coding RNA. RefSeq lists it as uncharacterized. The transcript has 2 exons. The record is from RefSeq and is a predicted model, not a curated record. Lineage: Eukaryota; Metazoa; Chordata; Mammalia; Carnivora; Otariidae.
AAACUGAGGUCAGAGUUCCUGGUUUAGCUCACCUGCCUGGGGAUACUCCAGCCUUUUCCAUCCACUCAUGUCCCGUCCCCCCGCCGCCACAACCGCAGCAAAUGCUAAACCCGAGAAACCCAGGAAAUACAACCAUUUCUCCGAUGCCUACUCUGAACAAACCACUGACCAAUGCUUCAGCACGGUUAAAAAAGAAAAGAAAAGAAAAAAAACUAAAAAAGCUAAAAAGCUAAAAGCAACAUGAGGCCAUUGGGGGAGAUCUGAAUGGGGACUGCAUAUUAGAGAAUAUUACUGUAUCAGUUUAAAUUUCUUGGGUAUGAUGAUGGUAUUGUGGUUUUGCAAGGGAAUAUCCUUGUUUUUAAGUGAUAUUUGGAUCAAGUGUCAUGAUGUCUGUAACUACCUUUUAAUGAUUAGUUAAAACAGGGAGAGGAAGUAGGGUGUAUAUAAAUUUAUAUAUAGACAGAGAAAGAGAGAGAGAGAGGGGAAGCAAGUAUGGCAAACGGUAACAACUGGUAAAUGUAUAUGAGGGGUACAUGGGUGUUCACUGUACUAUUUUUUCAAUUUUGCUGUAAGUCUGAAGUUUUUCCAAAAUAAAAAGUUCAGGGUGAAAAAGUCUGGACACCAUCCAUGUUCAGAGCCAGCGCAGACCUAGCAACACAAACUGCCUUCAUCAAGCUGGGCAACGGUGUCAUUCCUCCCCAGGGUGCUGCAACUGGCAAGUGAGGCUUAGAGAAAUGUUAAACUGUCCUAUGUCAGAGAGGGACUGAAGGGACACUAAUAAGAAAGUUCUGGAAAACCUGAAAAGGAAGCAGAAGGCCCAAGCCUUACUCCUAACUCUGCCACUAAAUGGCUGUGUGCCUUUAGGCGGGUCUCUUCACGUGUAGAUGAGCCUCCAAGGGGCCUCCCGGCCUCUGAAACCCUAGCCCUACCAGGUCACAAAUCCAUCUGGCUCCUGGGUUUAGUUUCUGGAGCGUUUCCCACACAGAGGCUGUUUGCUCUGACUCUGCCCUUUCUGCCCCAGGCUCCCAGGCAGCUCAGCCAACUAUGGGGCUGCAGAGGGAGCUGGGAAGUCCUAUCCACAGAGCCCAAGGGGUCAGUGACAGUCCUCAGUGCCCGAGGAGGAAACAGAUGUGCUCCAAUCUCACAGGAAUGGCCAAGUCACAAAUGUAUUAAUUAGAUCCUGUUUACACUUUUGCUAUCAAUUCUCUCUGACCAUCUGUAUGACUAAUGGUCUGCUCUUUUCAUUAAGGCGUUAGGGGGCCCCGCAGUGCAUUUCACAGGCAUGUACUUCGCAGAAAUGUUGCCCAAUCUGGGAACGCAGUGUUGCUAAACCCCAGCAAAUGACUGUCCUCACAACAAGGCCCUUGUAGGAGAGUUCAUCAGCACUUUGCCCAGUCCCCAGAGCUGUCCUGGCAUAAUCUACAGUUCCAGGAGAAGAGGACACAUUCUUGGAAACCCUUCUUUCCUCAGCGGUCCACAAGGCUCAGAUUCUGUGAGGCAGGGCUGCUGGAAAGAUGCAAGUCCUUGGAUCAGCAAAGCACUCUUCUUCUCCCAGAAGAACACAGGGAGAGGACAAGAUAAAUCCAAUCUAGGAAAACUAGACUUGGCCUCCUCUACUUGGUCCGCUGAGUUACUGGAAGGAAGCCCUGGGUCUGGCAGGAAGGGGGCAGCGGCCCCCCAGACUAGGAAGAAAUGAAAUUCUUCAUUCUUCCUCCCUUAGGGGAACAAGAUGAUUGCACAGAAAAAAAUGCAGUGGAGUCGAAGGCCCCCAAACUUGCCAGACAAGAAAUCCAACAUGAACUCAGCUAACUGUCAUGAUUUGUAAUUUUGUAAUAAGGGAAAUGGAAUUAAUCUAUUUUGAAUAUUU